GUAAUCCCACUCUGUGACUCCGGACCAUUCCAGUUUUUCCCUUUGACGAAGGAGCAUAUCUUGUGAAAACUCUUUGAAAACUACUUUUCACCAAACCUUCAACAUGAAAUUUACGUGGUUUUUCUUCGCCUUGUUGGCCUUAUUCGGCAUGGUCAAGGCUGGAAAGGGGGCUGGUGAGCUGUGUUCGGUUGAUUGGAAUCCUUUCUCUUCAGGAGAGUGUAGCGGAAAUCUGUUUUGUGCCCCCUGCCUUGUCGACGCCUGCGAGGAGAAAAAAGGACAAAAUAUUUGCCAGUAAUAUUUGUAUUAAAUAUUUGUAACUAAAUUAAGACAAAUUAUACAUAUUUAUUUAUUGUAAUUUUUCGAAAAGUUUGAUUCAAAUACAAGUUGUGUUUUUUACUAAAAUUCCA
This is a long non-coding RNA of Folsomia candida, 407 nucleotides long. RefSeq lists it as uncharacterized. Lineage: Eukaryota; Metazoa; Arthropoda; Collembola; Entomobryomorpha; Isotomidae. The record is from RefSeq and is a predicted model, not a curated record. The transcript is spliced from 2 exons.